This 2076-nucleotide ribosomal RNA is filed under the name groundwater metagenome. RNAcentral's name for it is "eukaryotic LSU rRNA". The stretch from base 1 to 1688 matches the Rfam family "Eukaryotic large subunit ribosomal RNA", at positions 1429 to 3401 of the family's 3401-position model. The record is from RNAcentral.
CUAGAUAUUAUUUGAUCAGAUCUCGGUGAUAGUAGCAAUAAUUUCAAAUGAAUUUCGUCGCUAUGCGACAUAAAGCUUUGAAGACUGAUGUGGGAAAUGCUUCCUUGUCAAUGGCAAUCAGACAAGGGUUAGUCGGUCCUUAGUUUCUGCUUAAUAGCUGUUUAAGGAAUUUUUAUUCCUUCUGAAACGAAAGGGAAUCAGGUUAAUAUUCCUGAACUCAAGUUUUUAGAUUGACCUAGGCUGUAAAGCCACGUCUUAAUAGAUUAACUAAGUUUAAAUGUCCGGGAAAAGUAUCUCUUUUUCUUUACAAUAGAGGCUAGCAUAGCUGCCUCAAUAAAUCCUCGGAAAUACUUUAUGUAGAGAAGAGGAUUUUUUAAUAUUGGUAGAAUAAAACAUUUUAUGUUUUGUGGACACAAUUUUAAAUUAGUCUUGAAACAUCUAUUAAGUACUUUAUUGGAUAAUUUAUUAUCUUUUACAAUCUAUAAACAUGAACCGUACAAUAAUCCGCAACAGGUUCCCAAAGCUAAUAACUUAUAGUUGUAUAGAGUAAUGUGAGUAAGGGAAGUCGGCAAAUUAGAUUUGUAUCUUUGGUAGAAAGGUUGGCUCUUAAAUUUGAAUAACUCAGACUUUCUCCGAACUUUUUCACCUUUCUCUGAAAGGAUGAGGUAAACAGACUUUUUGAUCUGGCAAGUAAUUUCCGAAUAAACGCCGGAGAGAAAAAUCAUAUUAUCCGAAUUAGGAACGAGAUAGUGCAGAUUUUUUCACUGAGGUGUUUAAAUCGAAUGAGUUAUAACAAACAUUCAUCUAAGAACCGCUUGAAUCUAGAGGAAUCCAACUGUUUAAUUAAAACAAAGCAAAGAGAAAGCUUUAUAUAGUAUUACCUCUUUGUGAUUUCUGCUCAGUGCUUGAAUGUCAAAGUGAAGAAAUUCAAACAAGCACAAGUCAACAGCGGGAGUAACUAUGACUCUCUUAAGGUAGCCAAAUGCCUCGUCAUUUAAUUUGUGACGCGCAUGAAUGGAUUAAUGUGAUUCCUACUGUCCUUAUUUGCUUUCUAGCGAACCCACUGCCAAGGGAACGGGCUUGGUUUGAAUCAGCGGGGAAAGAAGACCCUUUUGAGUUUGACUCUAGUUUAAUUUCGUAGAAUAUCAUAAUAGGAGUAGAAUAGGUGGAAAAUUUAUUAACGAUGCAAUACCACUACUAUUAAUUUGUUAUUUUGCUCAUUGCGUAGUAAGUGGUAUCUUCUAAAAACAAGUUAAAACAACGUUUUAACAACAUUUGUGUUACAUAAAACAUUUAAAUCGAGAGUUUGGCUGGGGCGGCACAGAUGUUAAAAGAUAACGCAACUGUACAAAGAUCAGCACAAAAAGAUUAGAAAUCUAUUGUCGCGAAUAAGGUCAAUAGCUGGUUUGACAAUUGUUUUCAGUAAAAGCGAUUGAUACGAAAGUAUGUCCUAACGAUCCUUUAGCAAAUUUUAACUAUUUCUUUUAGUUCAAGGCCAGAGGUGUCAGAAAAAUUACCAGAGGGAUAACUGGCUUGUGGCAACCAAGCGUUCAUAGCGACGUUGCCGUUUGAUCCUUCGAUGUCGGCUCUUCCUAUCACUAUGAAGCAGAACUCAUAUAUUGUAGGAUUGUUCACCCAUCAAUAGGGAACGUGAGCUGGGUUGUAAAAACAACUAAUAUUGAUUGGGUUGAUUAAAUAAAAACUGCUUCUUAAAACAAAACAAGACCACAAGCAUAGAAAAAGAAAAAAAAAUGACAUCCUCCAUGUGUUUUAAAUUAUUAAACACACACUUAAUACUUUCGAUUAUUAACAGUACACACAAUUCGUCUAAGGCUUUUGUUCCUUCUUUCAACUUCAUUGCAACUAGUAAUCUAACAUAACAAACACUCCCUUGGAUAAGGAGUAUAACACUCCCUUGGAUAAGGAGUAUAAAUAAGGAGUAUAGCAUAAAAGGCGUUAACACUCCCUUGGAUAAGGAGUAUAAUAUAAAAACAAACAGAACCAAGCGUUAAAAAGAAACAGAACUAAUAGUCUCAAAUACAACUUAGACCGUCGUGAGACAGGUUAGUUUUACCC